This 301-nucleotide ribosomal RNA is filed under the name uncultured bacterium. RNAcentral describes it as "partial 16S ribosomal RNA". It matches the Rfam family "Bacterial small subunit ribosomal RNA", at positions 509 to 809 of the family's 1533-position model. The record is from RNAcentral.
CAGUCGCCACGGUAAUGCGUAGGGUGCGAGCGUUAAUCGGAAUUACUGGGCGUAAAGCGUGCGCAGGCGGUUGUGUAAGACAGGUGUGAAAUCCCCGGGCUUAACCUGGGAACUGCGCUUGUGACUGCACAGCUAGAGUAUGGCAGAGGGGGGUGGAAUUCCACGUGUAGCAGUGAAAUGCGUAGAGAUGUGGAGGAACACCGAUGGCGAAGGCAGCCCCCUGGGCCAAUACUGACGCUCAUGCACGAAAGCGUGGGGAGCAAACAGGAUUAGAUACCCCGGUAGUCCCUGUCUCUUAUAA